UUUUUCCUACGGGAGGCAGCAGUGGGGAAUAUUGCACGAUGGGGGGAACCCUGAUGCAGCGACGCCGCGUGAGUGAAGAAGUAUCUCGGUACGUAAAGCUCUAUCAGCAGGGAAGAAAAUGACGGUACCUGACUAAGAAGCCCCGGCUAACUACGUGCCAGCAGCCGCGGUAAUACGUAGGGGGCAAGCGUUAUCCGGAUUUACUGGGUGUAAAGGGAGCGUAGACGGCAUAGCAAGUCUGAAGUGAAAGCCCGUGGCUCAACCGCGGAACUGCUUUGGAAACUGUUAAGCUGGAGUACUGGAGA
Molecule: ribosomal RNA, 305 nt
Filed under: uncultured bacterium
Lineage: Bacteria
Description: bacterial SSU rRNA
Rfam family: Bacterial small subunit ribosomal RNA
Source: RNAcentral